AGUCUCAUCCUCUUAGCUGCUGCUGGUUUGAGGAGCGUUCUGUGCGGGUCUGGACGCCCCCGCCUGAACAAGGUGCUUUCUAGAGGGGGCGAGUAAGCGAGCACCACUCGGUGUUUGCUCCGCGAACGCCACCUGCUGGCCCGAACUGGGUUGGGCACUGGAGUUUCACGAGAGUGCUGAGGCGCCGGUCCCGCCAGGAGAAAAUGUGGUCAUGGCCUCCUCGUUUCCCCUCAGAGCUGCAUGUGAGCCCUCCUUUCCAUCCCUUCAUGGAUCCAUUUCUUCAUUGUUAUGGGCUGUAUUUUGUUCCCUCGAAUUCACAUGUUGAAGUCCCAAUCCCCAGAGCUGCAGAAUGUUACUGUAUUAGGAGACAAAGCCGUUAAAGAAGAAAUUAAGUCAAAAUGAGGCCGUUAGGGUGGGCCCUAGUCCAAUAUGACUGGUGACCUUAUAAGAAGAAAUCUGGACAUGCAAAGCACCGAGAGCUACAAGUGGACAGAGGGCCAAUCAUGUGACAAGGCAGCAAGGGGACAGCCAUCUGCAAGCCAAGGAGAGCAGCUUCAGCUCAAAACCAAUCCUUGGAAGACUGAAAUGUUUUCUUUAAGAUUGGGAACAAAGCAGCCAGGUGCAGUGGCUCACGCCUGUAAUCCCAGCACUUUGGGAGGCUGAGGCGGGCGGAUCACCUGAGGUUGGGAGUUCGAGACCAGCCUGACCAACAUGGAAAAACCCUGCCUCUACUAAAAAUACAAAAUUAUCCUGGUGUGGUGCCGCAUGCCUGUAAUCCCAGCUACUUGGGAGGCUGAGGCAGGAGAAUGGCAUGAACGCGGGAGGCGGAGUUUAGAGUGAGCCAAGAUCACUCCAUUGCACUUCAGCCUGGGCAACAAGAGCGAAACUCUGUCUCCAAAAAAAAAAAAAAAAGGGAGCAAAGCAAGGAUGCCUGCUUUGGCCACUUCUAUUUACAUAGUACUGAGUCUUAGCCAGAGCAACUAGGCAAGAAAAAGAAAUAAAAGGCAUCCAAAUUGAAAAGGAAGAAGUAAAUUAUCUCUGUUCGAAGAAGAUAUGAUCUCAUAUGCAGAAAACCUGAAGAUUCCACACAUGCACAAACCUGUUAAAAUAAAUGAAUUCAGCGAAGUAGCAGGGUACCAAGUAAAUAAACCCAGAUCCAUUGCAUGUCUGUAUACUAAUAAUCUAAUAAUGAACAAUCUGAAAAAGAAAUUAUGAAAAAAUAAUACUAUUUACAACAGUAUUACAAAGAAGUUUAGGAAUUAACUUGACUAAGGAGAAGAAAGAUUUGCACAAGGAAAACUACCAAACGUUGCUGAAAGAAUUUUUUUUUUUUGAGACACCCCAGAGUCUUGCUCUGUCACUCAGGCUGGAGUGUAGUAGCAUGAUCUCGGCUCACUGCAACCUCCAUCUACCAGGUUCAAGUGAUUCUCUUGCCUCGGCCUCCCUAGUAGCUGGAAUUACAGGUGUGCACCACUACAGCCAGCUAGUUUCUUGUAUUUUAGUAGAGACUGGGUUUCACCAUGUUGCUCAGGCUGGUCUCGAACUCCUAAGCUCAGGCAAUCCACCCGCCUUGGCCUCCCAAAGUGCUGGAAUUACAGGUGUGAGCCGCUGCGCCCAGCCAGGUUGUUUCUUUUCACGUUGCUGAGUUUCAGGAGUUCUCUGUAUAUUCUGUAUAUGAAUCUCUUAUCAGAUACAUGAUUUGCAAAUAUGUUCUCCCAUUCUGCUGGUUGUGUUUUGGUCUGUUCAUGUUGCCUUUUGGUGUACAAAACUUUAAAUUUUUUUUUUUUUUUUGAGACUGAGUCUCGCUCUGUCUCCCAGGCUGGAGUGCAGUGGCGCGAUCUGGGCUCACCGCAAGCUCCGCCUCCCAGGUUCACGCCAUUCUCCUGCCUCAGCCUCCCCAGCAGCUGGGACUGCAGGCACACGCUGCCAUGCUCAGCUAAUUUUUUUGUAUUUAUUUUUUAGUAGAGACGGGGUUUCACCAUGUUAGCCAGGAUGGUCUCGAUCUCCUAACCUUGUGAUCCAACCACCUCAGCCUCCCAAAGUGCUGGGAUUACAGGCGUGACCCACCGCGCCUGGCCUUUUAAAUUUUUAUGAAGUCCAAUUUGCCCACUUUUUCUUUUGUUGCCUGUGCUUUUGGUAUCAUAUUCAAGCAGUCAUUGUCGAACCCAACGUUGUGAGCUCACACUGUAAACAAGUAUUCUUUUUGUUGCCUACGUAGUGCCGCUUUUUUCACAUUUGGUGCUUUUGUGUUCAAUGGCCUCAAGCACAGUGCUGAAGUGCUGUCGAACGCUUGAGUGUGCUUCCAUGUGCCUUGCAGAGAAAAUACAUGUGUUAGACCAGCUUUGUUCAGGCAUGAGUUAUAGCGCUGUUGGCUAUUAUUUCCAUGUUAAUGAAUCAAUGACAUAUGUUAAAUAAGGGUGUCUCUAAACAGAAAUUCACAUAAAACAAGGUUACAUAUUUCUCAGCUGAUAAAAAUAUCGUGACCAUAGGCUCAUAAGAACCUAAUCCUAUAUUUAUCGUAUGAGCAGCAGUUCAGUAUUCUCUAAUUCAGUGUUUGUGUUGAAUUUAUAGAACAUAACUACUGUGGUUAACAAGAAUUGCGUCUGUCUAUCUAUCUAUCAUCGUCUAAUAGAAAAUAUGUAAAAGAUUUGAAUGCACACUUCACAAAAGAAGCUAUACAAAUAGCCAAUAAUCACAUGAAAAAUUGUCCAACAUCAUUAAUUGUUGGGGAAACGCAUAUUAAAACCUCAAAGGGCUACCAUUAUGUACCCAUAAGAAUGGCUAAAAUUUUAAAAGAUUGAUAAUAGAAGAUGUGGAGAAACUGGAACUCUCAUACAUUUUUGAUGGGAAUGGAAAAUGGUACAACCAUUUCAGAAACCAUUUUGAUGGUUUCCUAAAAAACCUAAGAUUCACUGACAAUUUGACUUGGCCACUCCAGCUAGAUACGCCCACACAAAGACUUUUAUGUGAAUGUUCCUAGCAGCUUUAGUCAUAAUAACUAAAACUGAACCAAGCCAAAUGUCCAUUGGCAGAUGGAUGAAUAAAUAAAGACAUAUUCAUACAAUGGGUUACUGGGGAAAAACAGCAAUAAGAAGAAAUGAACUGCUGAAGCACUCAACAACAUGAAUGAAUGUCAGGCACAUCAUGCUGAACAAAAGAAUGCAGGCACCGUGUACACUGUGUAUGAGUAUACCGUGUAAGAUUUUAUUUAUACAAAAUGCUAGAAAUGACAAAUCUAAUCCAUAGUGAAGAAAGUAGAUUAGUGGUUGCGUGGGACUGAGGGGUGAGGGUGGUGGGGAUUGACUGGGAAAGGGCACAGGAACUGUCUUAUGUGACGGAAAUGUUCUUUCUUUUGAUUGUCGUGGUUGUUACAUGCAUGCAUGUAUGUGCCACACUUAUCAAAAUGUAUGUGGAAAAUAGUUGUCUUUUAUUAAAUGCAAAUUGUGCCUCAA
Molecule: long non-coding RNA, 3452 nt
Organism: Homo sapiens (human)
Lineage: Eukaryota; Metazoa; Chordata; Mammalia; Primates; Hominidae
Exons: 2
Source: RefSeq, a predicted model, not a curated record